GUAUAUGAGGGUGAUCUGACUACAUGCAGCAUUACCCCAUAAAUCGCCAGAGGUGAUCUGGCUGAUCUGCCUGGCUAGGCGGGCAUCCCUUUCUUCCCUCACCUUUCUAGGUGUGUCCCUCCUGAAGCUCCAUGUCCCAUCAAAGAGGACAAUCACUCCACAGAGAGAAAGAUCCUUUCCUCAGCCAAGGGUGUAUGAGUAGCUGGGCUCCCCUGAUAGAACCUCCAAACAAGCUCUGAAAAGCAAAAUGCAGGGGAAGAGCCAGACAGGAAUGGGCCAGGGCUGGUUAAAGAGCCCUCAAGGUCAUACCCCCAUGACCCAUUUCCU
This 327-nucleotide small nuclear RNA is filed under the name Octodon degus (degu). Its description in RNAcentral is "7SK RNA (ENSODEG00000023293.1)". It matches the Rfam family "7SK RNA". From Rfam's summary of the family: 7SK was discovered as an abundant small nuclear RNA in the mid-70s but a possible function has only recently been suggested. The record is from Rfam by way of RNAcentral. Lineage: Eukaryota; Metazoa; Chordata; Mammalia; Rodentia; Octodontidae.